Chrysemys picta bellii (western painted turtle) is the source of this 548-nucleotide non-coding RNA. Lineage: Eukaryota; Metazoa; Chordata; Testudines; Emydidae. The record is from RefSeq and is a predicted model, not a curated record.
AGAGCCGGCGGGAGACUCCAUUUCCCAGCAGGCCCCGCGCGCCGCCGAGCGGCAGUUUCCGGGCAGGCGCAGCUCGCGCUGAGGAGAGGGGGCGUUUACCCGCCCCCAGCCCUGCGCGCGCGGCAGAGCCGGGCCCGGGGACCGACAGCGGGCUACAGAAAAACGUCCAUGUUUUGCUCUGGAUCGUCCCACCCUUCCAGAGGAAAGGCAAUGGCUGCAGCGGAGUUAGCUGAGGGGCCGGUGACCUUCGAGGAGGUGGCUGUGUAUUUCACCGAGUCAGAGUGGGCUCUGCUGGACCCUGCUCAGAGAGCCCUCUACAGAGAUGUCAUGCAGGAGAACUAUGAGAAUCUGACCUUGCUAGGUAAGGAUUCCUGUCCCCUUGGUUAUUGGAAGCUGUGGGUUCUCUAAAGAACCUCUGUAAUAAUAACUCUAUACCAGGGGUCGGCAACCUUUCAGAAGUGGUGUGCCGAGUCUUCAUUUAUUCGCUCUAAUUUAAGGUUUCACAUGCCAGUCAUACAUUAACGUUUUUAGAAGGUCUCUUUCUAUAA